AGGCAAAAGCUCAGAUUUGAAAUCUGGCCCCGUUAGGGGUCCGAGUUGUAAUCUGCAGAUGGCGCUUUGGCAAGGCCCCCGGCUCCGAGUCCCCUGGGACGGGAUGCCGCAGAGGGUGAGAGCCCCGUGUACGGGCGGGGGGCUGCGCUGUGUAAAGCGCCUUCGAA
Molecule: ribosomal RNA, 167 nt
Filed under: Natipusilla bellaspora
Lineage: Eukaryota; Fungi; Ascomycota; Dothideomycetes; Natipusillales; Natipusillaceae
Description: partial large subunit ribosomal RNA
Rfam family: Eukaryotic large subunit ribosomal RNA
Source: RNAcentral